CCUGCAGCAUGUGGAAGUUCCUGGGCCAGGGAUCAAACCCUCAGAGCAGUUGCAACCUGCACCAUAGCUGCAGCAAUGCCAGAUCCUUAACCUGCUGUGCCACUCGGGAACUUCCAAUGAUGGCGUCUUCAUUUUGACAAACGUGCCAUGGCCACAUGAGCUGCGAUCACGAGGGGCAACUGGGUGAGGCCACAUAGGAACUCUCUCAUCUUUGCAACUAUUCUGUAAACCUAAUGUUAUUCCAAAAUAAAAUGCUUAUUUUUAAAAAGAGGGUUUCUGGAUUCUGGACCCCAGGGACUGACUCUCCUGAGAAAGAGGAAGAGGAUGGGGGGGCGUGUCAAGAAGGGGAGCCAGCCUGGGCCCCUGGGCCCGGGAUCCGUGCUCUGGUGGAAAUCACGCCAUGUCUGCUAAAAUCUCUGACAGGCUCAGGCGGAAAAGCAGGAUGUUGGACUUUGAGGUUGGGUUCAUUCCCAACCAAGCCUCCUCACAUUUUCCCAAAGGUUCCCAGAGAGUGAACCUGCAGCCAGGGAGGUCUGAAAAUACAGCAAAAAGCCUUCACUGAAGCGUUAUUUAAAAAAAAAAAAAAAAAAAAAAAUCUUAGGAAGUUCCCGUCGUGGCGCAGUGGUUAACGAAUCUGACUAGGAACCAUGAGGUUGCGGGUUCGGUCCCUGCCCUUGCUCAGUGGGUUAAGGAUCCGGCAUUGCUGUGAGCUGUGGUGUAAGUUGCAGACGUGGCUCAGAUCCCGCGUUGCUGUGGCUCUGGCGUAGGCUGGUGGCUACAGCUCCGAUUCGACCCCUAGCCUGGGAACCUCCAUAUGCUGCGACAGCGGCCCAAGAAAUAGCAAAAAAGACAAAAAAAAAAAAAAAAAAAAUCUUAAAAAUGCAUGCCAAUACUGCAUUCUACUCCAAAACAGUACCUUUUAAUUUUACUAGAAAAGUCCCCCACUGUAUUUCCCACGGCAGUCUUGUGCCCUGGGAUGAAAUGCUCAAACACUAAAAAAAAAGCAUGAAGCCUCAAAAGUGUGGACAAGCCAGAGAGUUCCCGUUGUGGCUCAGCUGUAACAAACCCGACUAGUAUCCGUGAGGAUGUGGGUUUGAUCCCUGGCCUUGCUCAUUGGAUUAAGGAUCCAGUGUUGCUGUGGCUGUGGUGUAGGCCGGCAGCUAUAGCUCCAAUUGGACCCCCGAGCCUGGGACCCUCCAUAUGCUGCACCUGCAGCAAUCCCCUCAAAAAAAAAAAAGCUGACCUGGAGAGAGCGGGGGAGAAAGGACUGGGCCAUCAGAAUAACGCAGCUGGAGAUGGGGGAAGUGGCCCCUGGGCCAAGACGAGCUGGCUACACACUCUGCCCGGGGCUCACAUGUCUUCAUUCAUUGUUUCAUUUAUUUUUCUCACGUACUCGUUCUUUGUACAAAUAUUUAUGUGCCUACUCUGUGGCCAUGGGUGCACUGUUCCAGGCGGCUAAACCAGGGAACAAGACGCACAGACAGCCUCAUAGGUUAAUGGGAAGAGAUAGAGGAAAUAAAAUGAGUAAAGAAAAUGGGGAGUGUGUUAGAAAAAUCAGCAAGCAGGGAGGGGGACAAAAUCAACAAGCAGGGAGGGGACAAUUUUCAGCAGGGUGGGAAGGCCUCUCUGAGAGACACUGAGUAAAGAUGAAAGGAAAGGAGGCAGCUUUGCAGAUGCUUUGUCAUUUAUUUUUCACAACUGUGGGAGGUAAUCAUUCGCUGCUUUACAGAUGAGAAAAGUGAGUCUAAAAGAGGUAACACGACUUACUUAAGGUGACCUAGGACACAACAGGGAAAUUGGGGGAGAGCCUAAGAGCGAAACCUGGCCCUUCAGUUCCUCUGCAAGAGGGCGACCAGGAACACCCCUCCACCCUGCACCCCUGUCCCCAGGCCCCGGCAGACACCACUCUUUGCUGGACUCCAUCCCACCUCUCUCCCUUGCUGAAGCCAGAUUUCCAAAUCCUCUGAAGAGUCACGGCAAUCAACAGGGCUUCACUGCACCCCUAGCCUACACAUACCUUAUUGUUUGUUUGUUGGUUGGUCUUUUUAGGGCCGUACCUGUGGCACGUGGAAGUUCCCAGGCUAGGGGUUGAAUCAGAGCUGCAGCUGUGGGCCUACACCACAGCCACAGUGAUGUCAGAUCCGAGCCACAUCUGCAACCCACGCCGAAGCUUGUGGCAACGCUGGAUCCUUAACCCACUAAGUGAGGCCAGGGAUCGAACCCAUAUCCUCAUGGAUCCUAGUCAUGUUCUUAACACACUGAGCCACAAUGGGAGCCCCCCCCGCCCCAUAUACCUUCUUAACUUGAACAGGUUAAAGAGCCGUUAAAGGGUAGAAAGACUGGCAUGCCCCCUGAGGGCACUGGGUGGGCAGAGAAAGGUGUGAGGGAUCAGGCUUGGUCCAGGGGAGGGAGCUCCUAAGUGCUCAGCUUAGCGCAGUGCUCCUGAUCGCUGUCCGAGCUGCGUUUUACUGGCUUAACUGGGACACUGGGACUGGCUGCCUCAUCCAAGAGUCGCCCUGGGAUCCCUCCCGCCAUGGCCAGGGCAGGCUUCAAGGCUGAGAAACAAGCCUGGAGGGAACCAAGCUGGGCUCUCCCACUCCCACGCCUUUUCCCUUCUCUUCACAUAAAGAGAAACAUUUCAGAGUUGAAGAAAUGACUCAUGUUCCCCCAGAGAGGGCCAGGGCUGGGCUGAGUCAGGCUGGAAGAGCCCUCGGGGCACUGAUCUGCCUGUCUGCGCUGCCCAACAGGGCUCUGGGCCCCAGGAAGCGGGGACAAAUGCAGGCGGAGGUGGCGGAGACAAGGGGCUGUGGAGGGUGCCUGGCUUUCCUCACCCAACCUUGAGCGUGUCACUGGGUGUCACCCGGCACUGCCCAAAUGGAACCUGAUAGAGAAGAAAAAUUCCUCUGGACUUUCCUGAAUGAGCUUUACGGCUGACUCACCGGCACCUGGGGACGAGCAAGAAAACUCACAAAUCACCAAAGAAGGGAAAAAAAACCCUCUUCAAUGAUGGCAUCUGGGAUCAAGGGCAGAAAUGCUCCCUCACAUUUUGCUCCAGGUUUUGUCCUUCAGAGAAACACUUUACACUCAGACAGGGAUGAAGCCGGUGGCCAAGUGUGGUUUUAUACGUCAAAUUCUCUUUCUCUGUUAGCUGGCAUCGACACUUAGAGAAUGAUAAUCUGAACCACGCACUGGCUGCAGGCCUAUCCACCUGGCGCAGAAAGCCUGUUCCCCACCCCAGCCCCUCCCCUAUUCCAGCUGAGAGCAGAGGGUCCAGACAGCCAGGGUCUCUGCCCUCCAGGGCUUUUGCUCCAGGGCAGAGAAGUAACAAUCCCUUAAACAAUGUGGGUACCUGAUGUGGGUACCCAGAGGACAGAACAGUGCCAGCCCCUCGUCCAGCUCGAAAACUGCUGCCUGACUCUUCUCCAAAGGGGACCACCUGCUUCUCUCCAGAGACCCCCAGUUGGGGUUCCCAAGCAAUUUCUCAUCCUCCUCAGCUGGCCUCCUCUCCCUUCACUGCUUAAAGCCCCUCUGAGCCAUAAGCCCACCCAGCCUCAGCCCUGAAGUCAGAUGCUCCAGAGGAGCCUACAAAACACUCUUGACUCUGGAGUUACUGGCUCUAAGUGGUGUAGCCUUGGCCAAGUCACCUUGUCUCCCAGGCCUCAGCUUCCUCAUCUGUUAAAUGGGGGCACAAUAGGACCCACCUCUCUUCUUUCUUUCUUUUCCUUUCAUUCACUCACUCCUUCUUUCAUUCAUUCAUUCAGUUAUAUAUCUUUUUAGGGCUGUGCCUGAGGUAUAUGGAAGUUCCCAGGCUAAGGGUUGAAUCAGAGCUGCAGCUGCUGGCCUACACCACAGCCGCAACAAUGCUAGAUCAGAGCCACAUCUGUAACCUAUACCACAGCUUUCAGCGAUCAUGGUUCCUAACCCGCUGAGUGAGGCCAGGAGUCGAACCUGCAUCCUCAUGGAUACUAGUCAGGUUCUUAACUCGCUGAGCCACAGUGGGAACUACCCAUAGGGCCCACCUCUUUAGAGACUGACUCUGAUGAAAUGAGUCCACUCAAGUGCUGUUUGCCAUGGGGCCAGCUCAAAGUCAAGGCUCACUACGCUGUGGCUCCCACCUCCCGCUCCGUGGACCACACUGGUACGAGGACAAACAGAACAGGUGUCACAAAGAACUGCACCGACACUAGGGAUCAGGGUACUGUCCUCCUGAUGGCAGCCAGAGGCUCAGGAAAUCCUGGCUUCUUUCUUGAAGAAGCCUCUGUGGCUCUUACACCAGCCUACCUCAUUCCCAAACCUGCUGGCUGUCUCCUGCCAGUGCAAUGAUUUCCACAACUGAGCUCCUGCCUAUGCUAUGGGAAGGGGAGUUUCUCUGUCUCGUCCCAAACUUGCUUCACCCUGACCCACAGGACAUUAGGACCAGGGGGCUGAGCUGGUAGCGCCGAGCAUUUUCCCUGUCCCUUCUCUGCCCUCAUCUUUCUUCCGCCCAAUGUUCUGAGUUAACAGGAGCUGCUUCCCAGGCUUGGUUGCCACAGAGCACAUGGUUCUCUGAGCGAAAAUAUUCAUGUGGCAGAGAGGGGCUCAGGAAGGGCCACUAGGUGGGGGGCUGGGAAAAGGGGUGACAGGAGGAAAAGAAGACUUUUUUUUUUUUAUGUCUGUACCUGCAGCAUAUGGAAGUUCCCAGGCUAGGGGUCAAACUGGAGUUAUAACUGCCAGCCUACACCACAGGCACAGCAACGCCAGAUCCGAGCUGCAUCUGUGACCUAUACCACCGCUCAUGGCAACGCCGGAUACUUAACCCACUGAACCAGGCCAGGGAUCAAAUCUGCAUCCUCACAGAGACAAUG
Molecule: long non-coding RNA, 4844 nt
Filed under: Sus scrofa (pig)
Lineage: Eukaryota; Metazoa; Chordata; Mammalia; Artiodactyla; Suidae
Description: lncRNA (ENSSSCG00000050609.2)
Source: RNAcentral